Molecule: long non-coding RNA, 920 nt
Organism: Hydra vulgaris (swiftwater hydra)
Lineage: Eukaryota; Metazoa; Cnidaria; Hydrozoa; Anthoathecata; Hydridae
Source: RefSeq, a predicted model, not a curated record
GUUUCUCCAACAGGGUUCGUAGCCAACUACUUAUAUAAAACUAAAUGACUUUAAUAAGAAUUGUUGUGUGUCAGUCCCAGAAAUUGAAUACACACCUGCAAAUUUCAUAAUUAAUAAAAAUAUUAUGAAUCCAUUAGCAAGUAUAUAUUUUGAUCAUUAAAAGUUUGGCCCUCUGUCUUUAAUUUUAUCUGUUUUAUUAGUGAUUGUUGUAUUUACUUUCAUAAAUUCUAAAUAUAAUAUAUAAUUAGUUAUAUAGUUUCUUAAUAAUAUAAUUAACUUUAUUGUUUCAAGAUAAAGUUGUAUCCUUGAAAGAUAUGCUGAUAUUUGGCACAAGGGGCAAGCAUUGAAGUGCAACUUGUUGAACUACAAAAUACAUCAAAUUCAGUUAUAAAAAUUUGAGUAUCAAAGGUAUGCUAAUUAUUGUAUUGCCCGAAAGAGUGUCAUUGCCAAUUAAAAGCAGUGAAGAAUUCAAGUACUCUGGAAGAAAAAAGACAAGAAAACACUUCAGUAAAUGGCUGUGUAUUUUUGCAAGUUAAUUAUUUGGCACAAAUUGGAGUUAAAGACGAAGGAGAUUGUAUAUGUUAUUUACUAAGAAUAGUUUAUUAAAAUGGCCUAGCUGUAAAAUUAAAUUAUGCAGGGAGAGGAUAAAAAAUUGGAAUAGGAAAAAUGUUGAUUGCAUAUGCUGCUAUUGAAACUGUGAAGUCAAUUAAACAUGGCUUAUGCAGACAUGAGAUAGAGAUAGCGGAAGAAAAAAUAAUAAUCGUGGGCACCAAAUAUCAUAAGUUAAACACGAUUCAAUAACAAGUAGCUCAGUCAAUAUCGAAACUACACUAUAAAUUUUAUAGUGAAUUUUUUUAUUUAAAACUCAAUGUGUCAGUUUUUGGUAUAAGUUUGGUGUUUGCAAUAUGUAUAUUUAACCG